ACGAUCCGUAGCUGGUCUGAGAGGAUGAUCAGCCACAUCGGGACUGAGACACGGCCCGAACUCCUACGGGAGGCAGCAGUGGGGAAUAUUGGACAAUGGGGGAAACCCUGAUCCAGCCAUGCCGCGUGUGUGAAGAAGGCCCUCGGGUUGUAAAGCACUUUCAGCGAGGAAGAACGCCUAGCGGUUAAUACCCGCUAGGAAAGACAUCACUCGCAGAAGAAGCACCGGCUAACUCCGUGCCAGCAGCCGCGGUAAUACGGAGGGUGCAAGCGUUAAUCGGAAUUACUGGGCGUAAAGCGCGCGUAGGUGGCUUGAUAAGCCGGUUGUGAAAGCCCCGGGCUCAACCUGGGAACGGCAUCCGGAACUGUCAAGCUAGAGUGCAGGAGAGGAAGGUAGAAUUCCCGGUGUAGCGGUGAAAUGCGUAGAGAUCGGGAGGAAUACCAGUGGCGAAGGCGGCCUUCUGGACUGACACUGACACUGAGGUGCGAAAGCGUGGGUAGCAAACAGGAUUAGAUACCCUGGUAGUCCACGCCGUAAACGAUGUCGACCAGCCGUUGGGUGCCUAGCGCACUUUGUGGCGAAGUUAACGCGAUAAGUCGACCGCCUGGGGAGUACGGCCGCAAGGUUAAAACUCAAAUGAAUUGACGGGGGCCCGCACAAGCGGUGGAGCAUGUGGUUUAAUUCGAUGCAACGCGAAGAACCUUACCUACUCUUGACAUCCUGCGAAUUUGGUAGAGAUACCUUAGUGCCUUCGGGAACGCAGAGACAGGUGCUGCAUGGCUGUCGUCAGCUCGUGUUGUGAAAUGUUGGGUUAAGUCCCGUAACGAGCGCAACCCUUGUCCUUAUUUGCCAGCGCGUAAUGGCGGGAACUCUAAGGAGACUGCCGGUGACAAACCGGAGGAAGGUGGGGACGACGUCAAGUCAUCAUGGCCCUUACGAGUAGGGCUACACACGUGCUACAAUGGUCGGUACAAAGGGUUGCCAACUCGCGAGAGUGAGCCAAUCCCGAAAAGCCGAUCUCAGUCCGGAUCGGAGUCUGCAACUCGACUCCGUGAAGUCGGAAUCGCUAGUAAUCGUGGAUCAGAAUGCCACGGUGAAUACGUUCCCGGGCCUUGUACACACCGCCCGUCACACCAUGGGAGUGGACUGCACCAGAAGUGGUUAGCCUAACGCAAGAGGGCGAUCACCACGGUGUGGUUCAUGACUGGGGUGAAGUCGUAACAAGGUAGCCGUAGGGGAACCUGCGGCUGGAUCACCUCCUUAAAC
Molecule: ribosomal RNA, 1266 nt
Filed under: Halomonas sp. 15WGF
Lineage: Bacteria; Pseudomonadati; Pseudomonadota; Gammaproteobacteria; Oceanospirillales; Halomonadaceae
Description: bacterial SSU rRNA
Rfam family: Bacterial small subunit ribosomal RNA
Source: RNAcentral